RNAcentral lists this ribosomal RNA (430 nucleotides) under uncultured bacterium. RNAcentral describes it as "bacterial SSU rRNA". It matches the Rfam family "Archaeal small subunit ribosomal RNA", at positions 339 to 776 of the family's 1478-position model. The record is from RNAcentral.
GCGAGAAAACUUUGCAAUGUGCGAAAGCACGACAAGGUUAAUCCGAGUGGUUUCUGCUAAAGAAACCUUUUGUCAGUCCUAGAAACACUAACGAAUAAGGGGUGGGCAAGUUCUGGUGUCAGCCGCCGCGGUAAAACCAGCACCUCAAGUGGUCAGGAUGAUUAUUGGGCCUAAAGCAUCCGUAGCUCGUUUUGUAAGUUUUCGGUUAAAUCCAUGCGCUUAACGUAUGGGCUGCCGGGAAUACUGCAUAACUAGGAAGUGGGAGAGGUAGACGGUACUCGGUAGGAAGGGGUAAAAUCCUUUGAUCUAUUGAUGACCACCUGUGGCGAAGGCGGUCUACCAGAACACGUUCGACGGUGAGGGAUGAAAGCUGGGGGAGCAAACCGGAUUAGAUACCCGAGUAGUCCCUGAGCGGGCUGGCAAGGCGCAU